Molecule: non-coding RNA, 909 nt
Organism: Triticum aestivum (bread wheat)
Lineage: Eukaryota; Viridiplantae; Streptophyta; Magnoliopsida; Poales; Poaceae
Source: Rfam
AUGGCUACUAGUGGUGGCAGACGGCGAGUGGAAAGUGGCGAGGGCCACGGACGGGAGGGGGAAAUGUCGACGGGUAGGGUUGUGGUUCCGGCGGUCGGCUUAAAUAGUCGGGCCAUCAGUGAGAUACUACUCUGGAGGAGAUCGAAUUCUAACCUUGUGCGGCCAAGGAACAUCAGGUAGACAAUUUCUAUGGGGCCUGAGCCUCCCAAAAGGUAACAGAUGCGUGCAAAGGUUUCCUCGGGCCAGACGAACAUUGGUCCUCGAGUGCAAAGGUAGAAGGGAGCUUAACUGCAAGACUCACACGUCGAGCAGAGACGAAGGUCGGCCUUAGUGAUCCAACGGUGCCGAGUGGAAGGGCCGUCGCUCAACGGAUAAAAGUUACUCUAGGGAUAACAUGUUGAUCUUCCCCAAGAGUCCACAUCGACGGGAAGGUUUGGCACCUCGAUGUCGGCUCUUCGCCACCUGGAGCUGUAGGUGGUUCCAAUUGUUGGGUUGUUCGCCCAUUAAUGCGGUACGUGAGAUGGGUUCAGAACAUCGUGAGACAGUUCGUCCAUAUUCGGUGUGGGCGUUAGAGCAUUGAGAGGACCUUUCCCUAGUACGAGAGGACCGGAAAGGACGCACCUCUGGUGUACCAGUUAUCGUGCCUACAGUAAACGCUGGGUAGCCAAGUGUAGAGAGGAUAACUGUUGAAAGCAUAUAAGUAGCAAGCCCACCCCCAGAUGAGUGCUCUCUCCUCUGACUUCCUUAGAGCCUUCGAUAUCACAACCGAGACAGCGACGGGUUCUCCACCCAUACGGGGAUGGAGCGACAGAAGUAUGGAAAUAGGAUAAGGUAACGGUGAGACGAGCCAUUUAAAUAGGUGUCAAGUGGAAGUGCGGUGAUGUAUGCAGCUGAGGCAUCCUAAUUUGA